CUUACCAUGCAAGUCGAACGGGUGAACGAGGAAGCUUGCUCCUCUGAUCAGUGGCGAACGGGUGAGUAACACGUGAGUAACCUGCCCCAGACUCUGGAAUAACAGUUGGAAACAGCUGCUAAUACCGGAUACGAGACGGAGCCGCAUGGCUACUGUCUGGAAAGUUUUUCGGUCUGGGAUGGACUCGCGGCCUAUCAGCUUGUUGGUGAGGUAACGGCUCACCAAGGCGACGACGGGUAGCCGGCCUGAGAGGGCGACCGGCCACACUGGGACUGAGACACGGCCCAGACUCCUACGGGAGGCAGCAGUGGGGAAUAUUGCACAAUGGGCGAAAGCCUGAUGCAGCGACGCCGCGUGCGGGAUGAAGGCCUUCGGGUUGUAAACCGCUUUCAGCAGGGAAGAAGCGAAAGUGACGGUACCUGCAGAAGAAGCACCGGCUAACUACGUGCCAGCAGCCGCGGUAAUACGUAGGGUGCGAGCGUUGUCCGGAAUUAUUGGGCGUAAAGAGCUUGUAGGCGGUUUGUCGCGUCUGCUGUGAAAAUCCGGGGCUCAACCCCGGACCUGCAGUGGGUACGGGCAAACUAGAGUGUGGUAGGGGAGACUGGAAUUCCUGGUGUAGCGGUGAAAUGCGCAGAUAUCAGGAGGAACACCAAUGGCGAAGGCAGGUCUCUGGGCCAUUACUGACGCUGA
This 690-nucleotide ribosomal RNA is filed under the name uncultured bacterium. RNAcentral's name for it is "bacterial SSU rRNA". It matches the Rfam family "Bacterial small subunit ribosomal RNA", at positions 48 to 749 of the family's 1533-position model. The record is from RNAcentral.